CCUUCGAUAGCUCAAUUGGUAAUGCGGGGGACUUUAGAUUUAUAAUUGUGAUCCCUAGGUCGCUGGUUCGAAUCCGGCUCGAAGGA
Non-coding RNA from Nematostella vectensis (starlet sea anemone), 86 nucleotides. The record is from Rfam. NCBI's taxonomy places the organism in Eukaryota, Metazoa, Cnidaria, Anthozoa, Actiniaria, Edwardsiidae.